RNAcentral lists this ribosomal RNA (590 nucleotides) under Halicephalobus sp. NKTW5. RNAcentral describes it as "SSU rRNA". It matches the Rfam family "Eukaryotic small subunit ribosomal RNA", at positions 1026 to 1643 of the family's 1831-position model. Lineage: Eukaryota; Metazoa; Nematoda; Chromadorea; Rhabditida; Panagrolaimidae. The record is from RNAcentral. RNAcentral also lists the same sequence under 1 other name.
CUGACCGUAAACUAUGCCAUCUAACGAGUCGGUAUUGGUUAUUAAUUGCCAUUUUGACGAGUUACCCGGAAACGAAAGUCUUUCGGUUCCGGGGGGAGUAUGGUUGCAAAACUGAAACUUAAAGGGAUUGACGGAAAGUCACCACCAGAAAUGGAGCCUGCGGCUUAAUUUGACUCAACACGGGAAAACUCACCCGGUCUAGACACUAAAAUGAAUGACAGACUGAUAUAUCUCUCAAGAUAUAGUGCAAAGUGGUGCAUGGCCGUUCUUAGUUCGUGGAGUAAUCUGUCUGGUUAAUUUCGAUAACGAACGAGACUAGAACAUAGUUAAUUGUGUGUGAUAUUAUUAUUUUAUUACACGGUGAUAAAUGGAUAUGCAAAUUAAAUUGCCUGAAAACUGGCAAUAACAGGUCUGUUAUGCCCUUAGUUGUCCGGGGCCGCACGCGCGCUACAAUGGAAAUUGCAGUGCGUAUAUACUAUAUCGAAAGAUAUGGUUAAACGUGUCAAAUUAUUCCGCAUUCGGGAUCGGAGACUGUAAUUGUUUCCGUGAACGAGGAACUUCAAGUAAGUGUGUGUCAUUAGCGCACGCUG